Long non-coding RNA from Populus euphratica (Euphrates poplar), 804 nucleotides. RefSeq lists it as uncharacterized. Lineage: Eukaryota; Viridiplantae; Streptophyta; Magnoliopsida; Malpighiales; Salicaceae. The transcript is spliced from 2 exons. The record is from RefSeq and is a predicted model, not a curated record.
AACAACAAGGACAAUUGGCGGGGGGUGUGGGAAUGAAGACUUGAAUGCACUUUAUUUUAAGAAGAAACUCAAUUUUGAUAGAUUGGGAUCCUCAUAGAGGAAUAUAAUUGUCAAGUUUAUUAAAUUUAAAUUUAAUUCCAAUUAAACAUUAGAACAUAACUGUUUAUCUCGUGUGUUUGGUUUUCAUCUUCUCAUCCUAUUCCCCGAGUUCCCUGCAUUACUCUAGGGUCCUUUAACUAAUGUUAACAAACAUUAAAUGACACCCUCCUUCCCUUAAAAAGCAGCAAAAUCCUUAAAAGAAAAGCGAAGAAACUAAUCUGUAGAGACAGAUUCUAAAGAAACACAACAGCAGAAGGCCAAAGAAAAAAAGAAGAAAUUACUGCAGCUAAAAAAUGCAGCAAGCAAUGAAGAAUGACACAACCUGAUAAUGAACAGCACAUGAGCAAAUAUAGAACAAAAGUAGGUGACCGCUAUCGGAAUAGGUAAGUGACCACUAUCGGAAUGCAACCAUCCUCAACAACAACAACAUAAAAGAUGGACCCAGGCAAAGUCGAUAUCGACACUAUUUGAGAAAAACAUUUAGCUAUACGAAAAUGAAUGCAGUGAAGGAAAACCAUAGCUGCUUAACAACCAGCUGAAGGGUCAUAUAACCCUGACAAAGGCUAUUCGAUCGUGCCUAGUCGAAGGCAAUCAAACACACACAACAUUCCUAAACAUGCACAUCAUAGAACCACUGAUCAAAAAUAGGAGGAAGCUCAGACAUGCUCUUAAACCUAAUCAAAAAGUGCUUCCCAAAAAAAAAAA